This 519-nucleotide ribosomal RNA is filed under the name uncultured Glomeromycotina. RNAcentral's name for it is "SSU rRNA". It matches the Rfam family "Eukaryotic small subunit ribosomal RNA", at positions 569 to 1092 of the family's 1831-position model. The record is from RNAcentral. Lineage: Eukaryota; Fungi; Glomeromycota.
AGCAGCCGCGGUAAUUCCAGCUCCAAUAGCGUAUAUUAAAGUUGUUGCAGUUAAAAAGCUCGUAGUUGAAUUUCGGGAUUAGUACGUUGGUCGUGCCUUCGGUACGUACUGGUGUUACUGAUUCCUACCUUCUGACGAACCAUCAUGUCAUUAAUUUGGUGUGGUGGGGAAUCAGGACUGUUACUUUGAAAAAAUUAGAGUGUUUAAAGCAGGCUCGCGCUUGAAUACAUUAGCAUGGAAUAAUGAAAUAGGACGUUGACCCUAUUUUGUUGGUUUCUAGGAUUGACGUAAUGAUUAAUAGGGAUAGUUGGGGGCAUUAGUAUUCAAUUGUCAGAGGUGAAAUUCUUGGAUUUAUUGAAGACUAACUACUGCGAAAGCAUUUGCCAAGGAUGUUUUCAUUAAUCAAGAACGAAAGUUAGGGGAUCGAAGACGAUCAGAUACCGUCGUAGUCUUAACCAUAAACUAUGCCGACUAGGGAUCGGAUGAUGUUAUUUUUAAUGACUCAUUCGGCGCCUUACG